GACCUGUAUAUGGCAAAAGGAAGAAUUUUCAAGUUCAAUAUAAGAUCUUCACUGCAUGAAAAACAUAAAGUCAUCGUGAUGGAACAAUCCACAUGCCAUCAAAAGUUGGGCACUCUAGCUCCCAAGGUAUUGGUGCAUUUGCAGCUUUGUUAGUUUAAUUGAAAUAAUUAUCUAAAUACUCACAGACACUGCUAUUCGUGAUCCUUUGUACCAGGACCUAUUUUCUUUUCUGUUCUCCAAGAAAUUAAGAACAUCCUGUGACAGGGGAAAAGAAAGAUCUUAAGUUUAAUAAAAUCAAGUCCAUACAUACCAUGAUCUGUAAAAUUUAAAUUGAUCCAUCGUCACUAUGCUCUACCUGCCCCAUGCGGUCCCAAAAGCCUCUACAGAUCGCUACGAAAACAUGAGUCUCAAAAACAGACUGAAGCUGAUUAAUUGUGUUCGUGAGCUGGUCUUUCAGUGGCUGCAUCCUACCUCUUAUAUCAGAUUCUACCACAGAUUCCUUUGCUUCUUGGAGAAUCUUUUUCAAUUUUGUAGUAUUCUGUAACUUGGUCUGCAUGGAACAAAAGAAGCAAAUGAGGGGGCACAUCAAAGCAGUACAUAAGCUAAUUUUUCCCCAAAAAAUGGUCAUCUACACUAAAUAUAGUAAUAUGUCUCUUCACAUUCAUGUGAAACUCUGAUAUUUCGAGUCCUUGAACAUACCGUAGUAGCACCUGAAUAUAAACAGAUGGAUGAGUACAAAACAGGUGAAAUUAAAUUCAGAGAUGGCAUUUGCACAUGAAGCUAACAAGGCAUCAUUUGCAGUUAAAUCUCAUCUACCCACACCCUUGUCUGAAUCACACUCUUCCAAAUUUGAGAAUGUAUUAACAUUCUUGCACAUGUCUGCAAAACUAGCCUUAUUUUUCACUCUCUUUGCACCAUAAUUAUAAAGUACUUUUCAGUGGAAAAUACAAUCCCAAAAUUUUAGCAAAUCUUGUCGUCCUUAUUCCAGAAAUACCCCCAUAUUCUUACAAAUCAUACCACCUCAGCUGUCUCCAGCAACUUCUACCUUUACAUUUUCAUUAACGUGAUCUUUGGACAAAUUCACUCUGUCCAAACCAAAGAUACUGUAUAAAAUAAAUUAACAAAUAAGAGCAUGUCUUGUCCUGAUCUAUUGAUUAAUAAAACUUGAGUUAAAAAAAAAUCAAAAUGAGAACAAAUUUAAAGAGUAUCAUUUUCAUAUUUAUACUCACAUUCUCUGCUAGUUUUUCUACGACAGCUUGCAGAUAACUUCUAAACUUGGCUCUCAGCAUCACAGUCACUUCACUAAGACGCUCUCCAGGAGCAGUGUUUCCACCAUCAGGUAUGCAAGAACCCCA
Molecule: long non-coding RNA, 1355 nt
Filed under: Manihot esculenta (cassava)
Lineage: Eukaryota; Viridiplantae; Streptophyta; Magnoliopsida; Malpighiales; Euphorbiaceae
Description: long non-coding RNA (MESC_LNC000909)
Source: RNAcentral